AUUGAACGCUGGCGGAAUGCUUUACACAUGCAAGUCGAACGGCAGCACGGACUUCGGUCUGGUGGCGAGUGGCGAACGGGUGAGUAAUGUAUCGGAACGUGCCCAGUCGUGGGGGAUAACGUAGUGAAAAUUACGCUAAUACCGCAUACGAUCUAUGGAUGAAAGCGGGGGAUCGCAAGACCUCGCGCGAUUGGAGCGGCCGAUAUCAGAUUAGGUAGUUGGUGGGGUAAAGGCCCACCAAGCCAACGAUCUGUAGCUGGUCUGAGAGGACGACCGGCCAAACUGGAACUGAGACACGGUCCAGACUCCUACGGGAGGCAGCAGUGGGGAAUUUUGGACAAUGGGCGAAAGCCUGAUCCAGCCAUUCCGCGUGCAGGAUGAAGGCCCUCGGGUUGUAAACUGCUUUUGUACAGAACGAAAAGGUUUCUACUAAUACUAGGAGCUCAUGACGGUACUGUAAGAAUAAGCACCGGCUAACUACGUGCCAGCAGCCGCCGUAA
RNAcentral lists this ribosomal RNA (500 nucleotides) under uncultured bacterium. RNAcentral's name for it is "partial 16S ribosomal RNA". It matches the Rfam family "Bacterial small subunit ribosomal RNA", at positions 30 to 523 of the family's 1533-position model. The record is from RNAcentral.